UUCUACUGCCAUACCCUCCUCACUCUGGAAGCUAAGCAAGGUCUGCCCGGCAAGGACUUGGAUGAGAGACUACCUGGGAAUACUUCAAGCAGUGAAAG
Molecule: ribosomal RNA, 98 nt
Organism: Cercocebus atys (sooty mangabey)
Lineage: Eukaryota; Metazoa; Chordata; Mammalia; Primates; Cercopithecidae
Source: Ensembl